Molecule: ribosomal RNA, 500 nt
Filed under: Podarcis vaucheri
Lineage: Eukaryota; Metazoa; Chordata; Lepidosauria; Squamata; Lacertidae
Description: partial 16S ribosomal RNA
Rfam family: Bacterial large subunit ribosomal RNA
Source: RNAcentral
UCCCGCCUGCCCAGUGACUCUUUAAACGGCCGCGGUAUCCUAACCGUGCAAAGGUAGCAUAAUCACUUGUCCCCUAAAUAGGGACUAGAAUGAACGGCUAAAUGAGGACAAAACUGUCUCUUACGGACCAACCAAUGAAAUUGAUCUUCCAGUACAAAAGCUGGAAUAAACCCAUAAGACGAGAAGACCCUGUGGAGCUUUAGAACCAAAACCACCAAACAUGUUUCUUGGUUUUUUAGUUGGGGCGACUUUGGAGAAAAAAUAAUCCUCCAAACUAUAAACCCAUUUAUUAAGAAUAACACAUCAAAAAUAAUUAAAUAGACCCAGCAACAUUAUGUUGUCUGACCAAUGAACCAAGUUACCCCAGGGAUAACAGCGCCAUCCUCUUCUAGAGUCCCUAUCGACAAGGGGGUUUACGACCUCGAUGUUGGAUCAGGACACCCCUAUAGUGCAGCCGCUUUAAAAGGUUCGUUUGUUCAACGAUUAAAGUCCUACGUGAU